GGGGGCGGUCCGCUUAGAGAACUUGGCAGAUAAAAAGCAGUACGUGCUCUGUUAUCUUACUGGUUUGGAACCAUUUUCCUUCUGUUGCAUUGUAAUAUUCUGGAAGGGAAGUAGAGAUCACCUAGUCCAGAGAUUUCAAGGAAUAUUUUAAACUUUAGAAUCUUCUGUUCAAUUCUGAAAACACACACACGCAUGCACACACACUCACAGAGCGAGCUAAAAGUAGAAGUGGCUUUUAUCAGCAAGCUUGCUUACCCUUGCUCCAGCCUUUGCCCAUAGCAGCCUUGGAUGCUUCUGAGGACCCUUAGAGCCCCACAGACACAUUUUGAAAGUCUGAUGCCUUCAUUUAUAGGUGAAAAAACAGAUGAAGGGGCUUGCCCAAGGUCACACAGCAAAAGCAAAAACUCAGGAUUUCCUAGGAUCACUCCCAGUCCUAGCAUUCUAGGAAUUAAUAACUUCUAGCUGAGCUAUCCCUCUAGUGUUCUUUCAUGUGCUUUGUGUUUGUCAUUCAUUUACUUAGUGGCUGUUACUGAGCACCUGCUAUGCAUUUUAGUACACAGUAGGCACCCAGCACUAUUAGGUACCAAUCCUGGGAGUUAGUAGAAGCAAAAGCAGCCACUUUCUGCCCUCAUAGGGCUUUCAGUCUAGUGGUGGGGGCAGAAAAACUACAUCUGUGGCCAGUACCAUGAAGGGGAGCAUGGUGUGGUAAGGACAUACAAGUGGAUAUGAGGCCAGUUGUGCUGCUGGAACAGAAAUACCAUAGACUGGGUGACUUAGAAACAACAGAAAUUAAUUUCUCACAAUUCUCACAAUUCUGGAGGCUAGGAAAUCUAAGAUCAAGGCACUGACAAACUUAGUGUAUGAUGAGGACACACUUCCUGGGUUACAGAGGACCAUCCUCUCAGUGUCCUCACUGGGUGGAAGGAGUGAGGAAGCUCUCUGAAUUCCUUUUAUAAGGGUACUAAUCCCAUUGAGGAGGGCUCUACCCUCAUGACCUAAUCACUUCCCAAAGGCCCCAGCCCAAACACUACCAUCACAUUGGGGAUUAGGUUUCUACAUAUAAAUUUGAGGGGGACACAGACAUUCAGUCUGUAGCAUGAGGGAUUUAACCUAGUUAGGAAGUGACCUAGAGCCCAGACCUAAAGGUCAAUAGAGGAGGAGAGAGGACAGAAUUGUUGCAGGUGGAAGGAGCCCCAUAUGCAAAGCCCUGUGGCAGGUGUGAGCAAGCAAGGUGGAUGGAACAUGCCAGGCUAGAGAGGCUGGAGAGCAGGAAGCUGGAGCACAGCCAGGCAGGGGCUGCGGCUGUGCACCGCACAGGGCCACACAGGCUGUUAAAGAGCGCUGGGGCUCCAUCCGAGGAUUAGAUUUGUGUUUUGAAGAGAUGUCUCCAGUUGUAGAAGGUACCUGAAUGCCUGUCCCCAACCCUAUCUCAGCUGAGUUCCUUUCAUUUCAUUUGCCGUCUCCUUUUCUGACUUCUGUCACACGCUGCUUGGGGUGCUCUCGGCAGAUCUGGUUGCCACUCUUUGUGGCACAUGCAUUUCGGCUCUGAGAUAUAUGUGUGUGUGUUUGGUGUGUGAGUGUGUUGCGACUGUAUCAUUCAUUCAAUAAAUAUGAAGUUAUUAAGUGUU
Molecule: long non-coding RNA, 1628 nt
Organism: Lutra lutra (Eurasian river otter)
Lineage: Eukaryota; Metazoa; Chordata; Mammalia; Carnivora; Mustelidae
Exons: 2
Source: RefSeq, a predicted model, not a curated record